Molecule: unclassified non-coding RNA, 6399 nt
Filed under: Dermacentor andersoni
Lineage: Eukaryota; Metazoa; Arthropoda; Arachnida; Ixodida; Ixodidae
Description: uncharacterized LOC126531574
Source: RNAcentral
GCAUGGUAGCUGCGUCACACCGGCCACGCGGAGACGUUUCCUUAAGCGAGUGGCUGGCGGCGAGAGCUCGUGGCUCUCACCCUCUCCCACACAAACGUUCUUCCUCCUCAUCGUCAUCCUCUGUCGGAGGAGGUGUGUGUCUCUCCUCCUGGUCGCUGGACGGCUCGUUGGCUGCCUGCCCUUCUCAAAGGAAGCGCCAGCGGCUGGAGAAUCACGUGCGAAUCGUGAGAACGCCGGACGAAGACGGCUUGCUGCUGCAGAAGGCGGCGGCGGCGCCGGCGGAACGCUGGGACCUUGUCGCCCGAGCAACGCGGUGAACGACAGUGACCGAUAUAACAAGUGCCGGACAGAGCGACCGACCGACCGACCAACGAGGGACGGACCACGAGGCGCGGCAAAGCGAGUGAUUUCACUGGAAAGAAGUGUGAGCGCGUCGCAGCGUGAACGGCGAAAUCGUCCUGGAGCGGCGUACUCGGUCGAGUGACGAAGACAUUGGAUGCUACCACGCAUGGUGUUGUGCGUGCGGAAGAUUUGUCGAGUUUCUUGGGCGCUAAUAGGGAAAAAAGUUGAGAUCGUCUCCUCUGGCGAGAAAGGAAUCUUCACGAAGACCUUCAACGCCUACUUGAACUGUGGGGACUUGUACACAGUCGGCGUCAGAGUACAACAUUCGCAGCCUCGUCAUCGGACCCGUGACAGCAGCAUGUGAUACCGCAGCGUCUGUUUCGGGCUCUUUCGUGGUGUACGGAUCAAAAUUGGAGUAGUUUUCCUCUCUUGCACUCUCCAUCAGGUUCUGGACGACGUGUGUGGUGAGGCACAUAGUCGUGUGCGACGAAAGUUAACAUUUGUUCUUUUCAUGCCCGACCACAGUGACGCAGCCGUACCUCUGACGUUCACAACCGGGGAAAGAAAAAAAAAAAGCUUGUGUUCGUGCAUCGUCUUUUCUUCCACCCAGUGCAGCAAUUUGCAGUCUGAUCCAAGCAUCCUCAAAGAGCCUAGAAGAAAGGAUCCCAUUGUCGUUGAAUCUGUUUCCUCAACCUUAACUUCGUCGGGACUAAGUGCCGGAAAACGAAAAUUCAUUUCUGAGAAGUUGGCGAAUGCAAUUCUGCCCCCGAAGAAAUCCAAGGAAAUAGUUGUGUGACGUCAAAGCUAAAGGACUCUGUUUAGCGGCUAAACCGCUUCUUUCCUUAGAGCCAGACUGUGACUGCCUUUAAGACAAAAGCACUACUUGAACGCAGAAGACAGGACAGAGAGCGCCUGUAUAUGUGCAAACCUUGGUGCGUUGCACGGUGACUGCAGUGAGCAUGUGAUAUAAUGGACUUCUACAAACCCUUGGCCACAGGAGGUCCGGUAGAAUGAAGUCUGUCAAGCAGUUCUUGCAUUCGUUCGGAGCGAAUGGCAAGAGCCCGGAUAGGCUCAAGUUCCCUUCUGAAGAUGGCCCGGUUACAACCCUCGACGUGCGUCCAGACAUUUUGGUCUCAACUAAGAAGGAUUUUUCAAUCAAGAAUAGCUGCCUGCCGGAGGCUCCAGGUAUCAGGAUGGCCACGAAUGCCAGUGGCAAGCCGUUUCCUGUGAUCUGCAACGUGCGAUCAAAGGACUUAAAGGCUUCGAAGUUAGCAACAAGGAACGAAGCGUCUCCUCCUCGUUCUAAUGGCGUUCGAACUUUCAGGAAAUGCGCUUCAGGUAUAAGUGCCGGCGUUGUGGAAAGUGAAAGUCAGGAAGGAACGCCCGUCCACGCCAUAGCACGUCAGCCGGUCACUCUGCGCGUGUCUUCUGUUCCUUCGAGGCAGGAUCACCUGUGUUCAGGGCGUUCCCUGGUUCCACCGCCUAUGGUAACUGCGGCGCUUGCAAAGAGGCGCGUUGACGAAUCCAAGAUCGAACCGGAGAAGAACGUAUCUCAGGAUGGUGGCACGAAAGGCCAAAGUACCUAUUCCGGUGUUCGGAUGUUGAAGAGGGCCGUCACCGAACGAACGCUGCUCAACGAAUGCGCGACACGGGGGGACCACAACGUAAGUGGUCUGCCCCAGCAGGACGGCCUUGCCCUGACGAGGAUACCGAGGUUUACUGCGGCUCCCCCACCCGCCAUACCGCCUCGCGUGCAAAAGCCAGUGGCCCAAAAGCCAGCUAUACUUCGACGCAGUACGAGCGACAUUUCGCAGAAAGGCGGCGCUUCAAACGGUGGCGCUCACAUCAGUGAGCGACAUAGUGGACGCCCAGCGGCCGGCGGCGCAGAGGUGGCUAAGGUUUCACUGAAGCCAGCGGCCAGUUUCACCGCCCCGAAGACAAACGAUGGCGCGGUAACUGAGGCGCAGCUUGCGCCACCAUGUCUCGAAGACGGAGGCAGUGAGUCAAGCAGCUCGCAAGCCGAGAGAGCGAGUGCAGCAGAAUCGGAAGAAGCGUCCCCUGCCACGACGAAGAUUCCCGGGGCCAAAGGAAAGUCGAAGAGCCGCUGCCAAAGACGCAUCUGGAGCUUCAGUCUUCCGCGAUUUAUGCGCUCUCAUUCUUCGCCCAAGCUGAACACGGACUCCAUUCCCGGUGAGGAAUCGCGAAGCUCCACUCUGCCGCGACUAAAAUCGACUGAUGACGCUGACCUUUCGGCAGUAGGAAAGGGCAGCAGUCCACAUCUGUUCAAGAUCACGUCCCUCACGUCGCUUCACGACUUGCCAGGUCAUACGCCGCCCAAAACAUGCUUCAGUCAGGGCGACAUCAACCAGACGACGACCUCGACGAAGACGACGGAAGGCCAACGUAUCGUGAAUCGGCAGCAGGACGAAGACAUUCGCUCGGGCAAUGGGGUUUCUCAAGAAGCCAAGAAGUCGUGCUCCCUAGCCGAAAGUCACUCCAGUUCCGACAACGGAACAGAUAACGGCUGCCCCGAGAGGCCUUACGUAAUGCCUCCGAGAGCUCUCAGGAAGUACAUCAAAACCAAUUUCCGCAGGCUGAACAUGCAAGAUGGGGUUGAAGCCGACACUGUAAAGAAGGACGGCGACGCGGCCCUGAAGAUUAUCGCCAAAGAAGAUCCAAUUCCGCAGCAGGCAUUGUCUGCGACUUCCGAGAAAGACGUCGAAUCUCUCCCAAGCAGGUCAUCACUGUCCUCCUGUUCCGACAAUGCGAGAACUGUACCAAACGAUAUUCUAGAACAAGAGCGUGAUUCCAAAGAACCGGAAGUUUCUAUCGAUUCUCUAGCCAAAGUUACGGAGCAGAUUGUCGCCGAUCACUCUCAUACAGCUAGUCACACCAAAGAAAACAGCGAAGAAUGCUUGUCGAAGACACAUCCGUCAUUACUCAGUGCUCAUAGGCUCUCACCGCCAAUGACUUGUUUCGACGUGGAUGCAGAAGUCUUCUCUGAACACGCGGACAUUCACAGGGCUAUACCUGCGACAGUAAGGCUAAUCACUGCUGCCAACGCAGCGUUAUCCGUAUUGGAUUCUCCCGGUCAAGGCGCCACGCCUACUCCUCGGGUAGCGGACGCGGAAACUGGCGGUGCAGGUUGCGAGCCUCCCGUGAGAGUUCUCGCAACUUCCGCGGGAAUUGCGUGCUCGCCAUCUCUCGACGUGAGUGACAGCAGCACGCAAGGUCCGCUCGCUCGCCUUUCAACUACGGGUAUCAGUGAAGACGGCUGCGCUUCCACGACGGACAGCGCACCGCUUGCGAACGGCGCCCCGGACGUACCCGAGGAGCUGGAGAGGCAGGUGGACGGCGCCAGCUGCAGCGAGAGCCUCUCCUCGUUCGAGUCGGAGGUGGCGCUGCCCGACAGGCAGGAGAGAAAGGCGCAUGGAGGAGGCCACACUAGGAAACUAAGGGUGCUGGACAGGCCCACGUGUGGCGCAGGCGCUGCUGUGGCUCGCAAUAAGUGCAGCGGAGGAGUAGCGGCGGGCUCGGGCAUCGGCUGCUGCUGCUCGGGUGCAUCGGCCUGCAGCAACUCCCGGUCGUCCCGGGCCGCCGCCAACAUCAACAACAAGAGGCACUCGUGCGGCGACCGCGUCCGACAGCUGGAGAACGACGUGUGGCAGGCCGAGCGGGAACUGCUGCUCAUCAAGGAAAAGCUACUCAGGGGCCACGGAAGGCAUAGUUCCAGGCCUACGGACAAGUCAAAGAGCGACCGGGAGAAAGGCGGCGGCAGCCAUCGCGCAAAUGGAACAGUGAAGGUUGCAACGGAGUCAACAGAAGUUCAAUGCGACGCUUCCUCAAACCCAGAAUCUAGUCCCUUCCUUCACGUUCAAGAUGAACUGCUCUCAAAAGUUCCAGGCGCAGAAGGCGAUGCCACGAGACGGGUCCACGAAGAAAACUUGCUGCUUCAACAGGAACUCAAGGAGAAAUGCGACUUGCUCUCUAAGCUUGAGGAGGAACUGGACCACCGUGACGACGCCACCGCGCUUGAGGCGCUGGACCGGACGACAACGCCCCUGUCGCUUAACCACCGCCCGCAGCAGCGGGAGGAGCUUCGCGUGACGCAAGAGGCCCUGAGCAGCCUGCGGCAGUGCUUCAGGCUGGACGACCCCUACCAACACACGCUGGACACCAUCGAGCAGUCGUUGUGCACGCUGCUCGAACGAGUCACCUGCAUGGAGAAAAUGGCCGCAGCAGCCACCGCUUGUCCUUCCACGGGUUCCCUUAGUGCUGCAUCUGCGCGUCGACUGAACUUCGACUCGACGGGUGACCCACGGCGGCUACCAAUCACAACACUUUCCCGGCUACCGCACCGACCCUCCAACAUCCCUCGGCCAAUGCUCUCAACCGGCGAGCACCAAGGUGAUCUACUACACAGAGAGGUCGGUCACCCCGUUCCUGUCGGCCAUACCCAAAAGGCUCAGCGACAUUCGACUUCGAGACUUCAAAGUAGUGUUUGAUCGUCCCGGCCAGUACAGAUAUCAUUUCAAGACACUCGAUCCCGAGUUUGGAAUGGUCAAAGAGGAAGUCCUUCACGAUGAUGAUCGUGUACCUGGCUGGGACGGCAAGAUCGUUGCUUGGAUAGAGGAGGACAUCUGAGGAACUGCACUGCCAUGUUUCUCCUUCGCUCAGGCAUCGCGUCAAUUCAUCUGUACAUAGCGCAUCAUUGUCUCCCAAACGUGUGCCUACAAUCACUACCAGUUGUUCCGUUCCGACUUGCACGGUUUGUAACUUAUUGAAAGUGCGAGUUAGUUGCUUGUUAACCGAGUCGUGCGUGUGCGUGCCCACUGGUUAUCCAAGGCCUAUAUAUUGUUUUAUUAUGUCGAGUUGGGGUUUUUUUUUUUCGAAAAACAAAGUUCCGGUGACCUCGGAAUACGUGCCGUAACGAGAUUUCGUUUACAGUCUAAGCUGCUCUACUGUAACGUUCACACACAGAAAAACAAUAGGGAUUCUCCAGCACCAUCAAGCUAUACGCGCUGUCUCGCUCCUUCACCCGAAAACGCUCUUCGUAGUUAAACCUAACGGCAGCUGCGGCUUGCUAUAGAAUAAAGAAGCUUAUACGCGAAUUCCGCAUCGCAGGCAGAAGUUCCUGCUGUUUACGUUUUUUCGGUGCCGGGAAAAUAACUCACAGUAGCCUGUCGUGAACCGGAAUCAACAGUGGCAAGCAAAAAAAGUUUACAAAAAAUUUAAGGCGGACAUUCGUCAAGCACUCUUUUAGCUCAUGGCUGCAACGGCACGACUAAAGUCAAGGACGAACAGGAGGGGGGAACGCCACACAGCUCUCACUAUCAACUGAAGUUUACUGAAGGAAAACGAACAAUAUAGGAAGACUAAGUGUCGCGUGGCAUCAAACCCCUCACUUCAGAGAAAUUCGCUACAAAAAAAAAAAACUUCAGGUUAAAAUAGUAAAAAAAGGUAACUUCAGGUAAUAUAGUCAGCACCGUAUUUGAUGUUCUCUCUUUCAUGUCCUUAGUUGCAGUCUUGCAGCCAUGAACAUAUAUUAACCGGGCUCUUUUAGCUUUAAGUUUCAAACUAAACUGCGUGAAGUUUCCUUGCUUUCCUUGGACAGGGCGUUGACGUUUGCUGUGAGAAUUGGUUCUCAUGCUGAUGCUGGGUGACACUGCUUUCUUGAAGCGAUUGCGUCAAAUAAAGCAUGACAGUCACAUGAACGAUUAGCAUCACAUUCAAAGAGGUGCGCCUUCGCAAAAUAAAAUUGUGAGACCUUCUUUUUUUUUUUUAUGAAGAAACGAGCUUGCGUUCAGAAAACCACGUCGGCACAGCCACGUCACCAGAGUGCGGGCAAUGUGCCACCAUUUAAUAGUUCUGUCAUACUUGAGAAGCUCCUCAAAACUUUGCUAUUUUUGUUUCCAUGUGUCGCCUGCAGGAGCAUGUUUCAUAUUGGAACGGUUCGUAUUUAUGGCCUUGAAGAACGCGCUGUUAAUAAAGCCAAGUGCAAUUUUUCGAAGUCACUGCAUGACGUGACAAUAAAUAAAUAAAUAAAAAAAACUUUCA